AAUAACAACGCCUCCUGUAACCUUUCUUCUACAUGAGCUUGGGGUAUAAAGGUUAGAUUUUUCUGUCCAUUAGCAUGUUUUUUUGUUUGUUUGUUUGUUUGUUUGUUUGUUUUUUUAGGUUUUGCUAUCACCGUUACUGUAUUUGUAGCUGUCUGAUGAGUUUCACAUCAACACAUGAUGUAAUUUUCCACCAGUGCAUUUGAGACUGUGAAAAGAAGAAGAAAAAAAUUGCCGCCUCCAUGUUUGUCUUUUGUUAACAACCAGCUAGCUGGCUAACUGUGAUGAGUGAUGUAUAUUUUCCUCCUCAAAACAGCAGUGAAUUUGAUAGAUUUAACCAGUGAAUAUGUCUGUAUGUUGAUUUAUAUUGUAUAAAUUCAUUUGAAAGUAAAGAAGUGUUGCUGUGUUUUCGGUGGCUGCAGUGAGUAGCUACGUUGAGCUGACGUCACACGUUCAGAAGACCACUGACCCACUGACAUCACUAUGCUUUUCCAGGUAUUUACAGCAGCCUCUUCCAGUUGUUGUUUGUUUCGGGAGGUUUCUCUUUUCAGGCUACUCUUCAGGAGGUGAAAUUCUGCUCAGUUGGGUUAAAGUCUGGUGAUUGACUUGGCCAGUCUAAAACCUUCCACUUUUUCAAGUCCUGUGUGUGGAUCAUUGUAUCGCUGCAUGAUGAAGUUCCUUGCAGUUAGAUUGGAUGCAUUUCUCUGUAAAUUGGCAGAUAAAAUGUUCCUGUAAACUUCUGAAUUCAUUCUGCUGCUACCAUCAUGAGUUCCAUCAUCAAUAAAGAUUAGUGAGAAUGUUCCAGAAACAGCCAUGCAAGCCCAAGCCAUGACGCUACCUCCACCAUGCUUCACAGAUGAGCUCCUCUCACAACGUUCCUGUCAUCAGCUGCUGUUAUUUUCCUUAGCCGACCUGUUCCAUGUCUGGUUGCUCAGUACACCAGGCUCCUCUCAUUGUACAAUAAGACUCACCCCCAUUUUAUCAUCACAUCUUACUAAGUUGCCAGAAACUUUGUCGAAGAAAUAAAAGCAGUGAGCGGAGGGGAGCAGCAGGGGUUCUGCGAGAACUCCGGAGAUCAGCAGGGUUUGUUACGGACCCCCUGCCUGCAACCCCGCUUUUUCAGCAACACACAAAGUAGCACACACACACACCGAGCUCAUCUCUGAACUGCUGAGCUACUGGGCUGCUCUCUCUCUCACACACACACACACAUUGAAAUGGAAAAAAGUCUUGGCAGUUACACCAAACCUCUACAAAGGCUUUCCUCUUAGUGUUAAAUUUAUAAUGCUGAUUAUAAUAAUAUAAUAAGUCCUAUAUUCCUUAAGGCUCAAAUAAUAGAGUGCUUGAAUAAGUUACUAUGUCCUGAAGUUAUUACAGAUAAAAAAUUCUAAUCAUUUUGAAAUUGUUUUAAAUGUGCGUGAACGAAACCUUGAGCUGUUCAAUUAUCCAUGAACGUGUCAUUUCAAGCCAUAAAAAAUAACAUAUUUACAAUUUUGAAUGCCCUGUACACCUUUACCCUCAUAAAAACAUAUGUACCUAUGAAUAUGCAUGAAUACGCAAAUUUGGAAACACCCCCACGUCAUCCUAGCAUCCCAAAACAUCCUACUAUAGCUAACCUUUUGCUAGAUGGCAAGUAAGAUUUGUGGGAUUUCAGUAUCUUGAUUUGCUUCGUCAUUUUCUCAGUGAUUUGUAACAGCAGUCAAAUCUGUCAAAAUACCAAAAUCUGAAUUUUACCAUAACAACCACUAUCUGUUCAUCACUAAAGUUAGCUUAGCUAGCUAAGUAUGUGCUGUAGUUUCUGCAACUUAGGUACCAGUUGCUAUGCUUUAAUCUCAGACGUGAUUGCUCAAAAUGUUUUAGGGCUUAUUUAGUGACACUGCAAACUGAGCUCAUAUGUAGCCCCGCCUCCAAACAGGUUUUAUACAGAAGUUCUGAGAAAGUCUGGUAUUUAAACAUCACAUACAUACAGUCUCCUCCGGAACUAUUUGAACAGCAAGGCAAAUUAAUUUGUUUGUGCUGUACACCGAAGACAUUUGGGUUUCAGAUCAAAAGAUGAAGAUGAGACAAGGAUUUAGGAUUUCAGCUUUUUGUUCCUGGUAUUUACAUCUAGAAAAAUUACAUGUGUGUUAAACAACAUAAAACAUGGCAACUUUUGUAUCAGACCACUUGACAGAUAAGUCUUGAUGUAAAUUAAAGUAAAUGACACUUAAUAUUUGGUUGCAUAUGCCUUGUUUGAAAUAUCUGCAUCAAUCAUGUGACUCAGUGACAUCAACAAAUUGUUGGUUUCAUCUUUUGUGAUACUUUUCCAGACUUUAACCGCAUCCUCUUUCAGUUGUUGUUUGUUUCAGGGGAGGUUUCUCUUUUCAGUCUCCUCUUCAGGAGGUGAAAUCCUGCUCAGUUGGGUUAAAGUCUGGUGAUUGACUUGGCCAGUCUAAAACCUUUCACUUUUUUUGAAGUGUGUGUUUUGGAUCAUUUUCUUUUUACAUAAUAAAGUUUCUCCUGAUUAGUGUGCAUGCAUUUCUCUGUAAACUGGCAGACAAAAUGUUCCUGUAAACGUCUGAAUUCAUUCUGCUGCUACCAACAUGAGUUACAUCAUCAAUAAAGAUUAGUGAUCCUGUUCCAGAAGCAGUAAUGCAAGCCCAAGCCAUGACACUACCUCCACCAUGUUUCACAGAUGAGCUCGUAUGUUUUGGAUCGUGAGCAGAUCCGUUCUUUCUGCACAGUUUGGACUUUGUCCAAUCAACUGGACGAACAUGUAACAUGUCAGAGCUCUCGGGUUAAGACGUUGGACGACUUGUCUUAGAAUACCGGAGUUCAUGUGCCACUGCCUGGUCCUUGAGCAAGACCCUUAGUGCUUAACUGCUCAGUUGUAUAAAUGAGAUUAAUGUAAUGCAUCAUUUAUUAUUUUAUCCUUUGUCUAAUAUUUAAUCUUUUAUGCAUAACACUUCCAAAAAAAUGACUAAUAUAUAAAUCAUUAUUAUUAUUAUUAUUACAUAACGUAAAAUAAUCCUGAUCGUGAUUAAAUAGUUCUGAGCUUUUAUUAUUUUUCUCUGGUGUAUGAACAUGCAAGUACAAGGGGCGGGAAAAAAACAACAGGACACAGGUUAUUGUGUGAAGACAUUGCAAAAUAUAUUUAACAUUGAAUUCCAUGUGAUUGUCAAGAGAAUGUGGAUAUAUUUCUUUUGGCUAAAAUACAUCUCGAGUGCAUCUCGGAAAUGCCAAAAUGAACGCAACACUUAUGUACACUCUUACAUUGUAUUUACAUAUCCACGACUUUACAGAAUCUAAAAAGACGAAUUUGGACACACGGAGGGGGGAAUAAAUUGAACGAUACGAACAGCUUUGGUCUGAAAGAACUUGAUUUGUAGACUAACUACUCUGACUGAAUCAACACAUUCAUACAGAUGCAUUUUGUGCAACCUACAUCUCAUAACUCUCAACAUUAUUGCGAUCACGGACAUCCUCCCUUCUUCUACGUGGUUUACAUCAUUAUAUAUAAAUCUAACACUGAUUAGGAAUGAGGGGAAAAAAGCUACAGAAAGAAAAACGAGUGACUGAAAUGAAAUACAGAAACUGGUUUAUGAUUUCAUAACUAAGGUUUAUGCUCAAACUCCCUCCUCUUGUCCUUCCAUGACGGAGAUGAUUCCUGCCUCAAAUUUGCCUGCGUCUACACAGCAGCC
This is a long non-coding RNA of Ictalurus furcatus (blue catfish), 3677 nucleotides long. RefSeq lists it as uncharacterized. The transcript is spliced from 3 exons. The record is from RefSeq and is a predicted model, not a curated record. NCBI's taxonomy places the organism in Eukaryota, Metazoa, Chordata, Actinopteri, Siluriformes, Ictaluridae.